Corvus hawaiiensis (hawaiian crow) is the source of this 3348-nucleotide long non-coding RNA. RefSeq lists it as uncharacterized. Lineage: Eukaryota; Metazoa; Chordata; Aves; Passeriformes; Corvidae. The record is from RefSeq and is a predicted model, not a curated record. The transcript is spliced from 3 exons.
ACAGGACCGGGGAGGAAACAGGGACCGCCUUAGAAGGCAAGGGAAGGCACGCCGGCACACAGACCCACAGUGAGCCUGCACAGCUGCCCUGGCUUUUGGCUUGUUCCUGAUGUGUCUUCUGCGACCACAGGCCUCUCCACUCAACUCCAUAGCUUGUCAGGAGAGCUUCAGGGGUUCCCUUGUGUUGGCAGCAGCUGCUGAUCCCAAGUGAAACAGCUGCAAUAUUCUCCUUCUUGAGGAUGCAUCCCAGAACAGGCUGUUUCUUCCGAGAGGACAACAUAGCCUCCAACUUGGCAGCUGAGAGAAAUUCUCAAACACUGACAGAAAACAAGACAAAAGAAUUGAGUGGGUCCCUUCUGAAACCUGGACUUUUCAGAUUUUACCUGCCACUGUUUCCCAUUUUACUUUUCAUGUUUCCUGAGCAGACUGCUUACAGAAAAUCACCAAGAAGACAUAGAAGCCAAUUUUGUCCAUCAGGCUAUGGAGAUCCCUUCUCAUUUCAGCUUCACAAGUCAGAAAGUGGUGAUUGGAACAUCAGGAACCAGUACAGCCUAAUACAGCCACUUGACUGGUCUAAGACCUCUAACUAGUUUUUCUUUUGGCUAAAUGAGAAUUUUUCUGAUUAAUUGAAAUGCAAUGAGAACAUGCAAGAAGUGGAAAGAAAACAAAUGAAAAAGCACAUUUAUAGUAUACAUUUCUUUGGUAUUUAGAGACAAUGUGCAGACCAAUAUCUAGUCUGAGCUAAAAGUAGGCAGGGGCAUAAAAGGUGAUGGAACAAGACUCUGAAGUUAGUUGCAAAGUAAAAUUAAGAAAAAAUGUGAGUUUGCUGAGGUAGAAAAGCUACUGAGAAACGAUACAGAAGAAGUUGAAGUAGACUUUGUGAGUUUUGUCUUGGUUUCCACAGGUAAUACCUGAUCUUACACCUCUGUGUUGACCAAUGUAAUUUGGUGAAGAGAUGGAAACCAAAUAAUGCAGUAGAAACAUGGUAAGUAUUUCUGAGAGAAAUUUAAAGAUAAUGGAGAUGGAUGGCACUCAUCCAAGGCCACUGGAAGAGCUGGCUGCAGAGUUUGCAAUGUUACAGUGUCUGAAAAAAACCCUGUGGUUAUCAGGGAAAUCCCUUGCAACCAAAAAUGGUUAACACUAUGUUCAUCUUUAGGAAAAAUGAAAGGAAAACUUGGGCAAUUUUAAGGCAUAUCAAUCCCUGUAAAGACUGUGAAGCAUGCCCCGUUAGAAUCCAUCUUCAAACACAUGAAAGCAAUCAUGAAUAACUAGUUCAGACUUGACCAGCUUGAUUGUUUGCUGUCAUGAGAUGGCUUGUUGAACAGGCAGGAGGAAAAUAACAGAUACCCAGUCUUCAGGAUGGCUUUUGGCACUGUCCCCAAAAGGAUUUUCUGUGAAAGCUGAGGAAGUAUGGACUGAAAGAACAGUUUGUUAAAUGCAUUGCAAAUUGGCUCUACCACCACAGUAAAGGUGUAGUAGAAUCAAUGCUUUGAGUUCCAGUUGGUAAUAAGCAAAGUACCCUAUGGUUUGGUACUGGGACUCAUAUUGUUCAGCAUUUCCAUCAACAGCUUAGGUAGUUACACAGAAUAUGUCCUCAGGUAAAUCUGCAGAUAUUACUGAUAAUGAAGAAUGAUUGACAUGAAGAGUCGGAAAGCUUUAAUUCAAAGGGUUCUUGAGGAUCGGACCAACAUAAACAUCAUGAGGAUUCUGAAUCUGGCUCAGAACAACCUCAUGUACCCACACAGGUUGGGAAAUGGCAAGGUUGUGAUGGACUACAGGUGGAAUGCAAACCAGUACUGCAAACUGCAAAGAAGGUAGACCGUGUGUUGGACUAUAUCUGGGGGGAGUGGUGGGGGGGCAUGGGAUCAGACCAAGUGAAGUUAUUGUUGUCUUGUGAUGGCACUGGUGAAGCUGUAUAAGGAAAACGAAGCCUAGUUUGGAGCCCUCUGGAAUCUGAGGGAUGCCAAAAACCAAGAGGUUACAGUGAUGCAUUUUGAAGAAGCUGGAGUUGUUUAAUCUGACAAAGAGACUAAGGAAUGAUCUAUCAGCAACCUAGCAACCCACAACUACUAGAAGGAGAGAUACAAAGAUGACAAAAACAUCCUAAUUUUGGUAGACAGGUUGUACAGUACUGAAACAUCCUUUUUCUUCCUGGGCAGGGUAGCACUAAGAUAUGUCUUAACUAGAGCCAGCUAGCAAAAGUAAACUUUUAGUGGGAGAGACCUCCAAAUAUCCCCUGCAAACUGCAUUUCUAUGAUUCUGAUCCUUGAAAUCUGGAGUUCUGAACCCCAUUGUCUUUUUCCUUUGAAAGAGCACUCUUCUUCCCCACAGGAGUAUAAGGCAUGUUCCCUCAUCUUCAGUUUCUGAAAAAGUUUCCAUGAAGAGUUUAUUUAGGUUAAAAUAAAAGCUCUUGAAUGUAUCUGUGUUUGUGGCAUCUGAGGAAAUAUACAUUAAAUACAGCAGAAUAUUUUGAUACAAUAGGUCUGAGCUUUUUGGUACCAAAAAGGCAAACCACUUACUUGUGUUCAUAGAUACCCAUGUAGAAGUAGUGCCAUUCACUUCAUGAGAACUUAUUAAGUUAUUAAGUGAUUUCCUGGUUUAUGGCUUUGGUUCUUCUUUAAAAUGAAGUACUGAAUGCAAAAGGCUGGGAGUGGUGUAGAAUGCUCACUACUCAUGCAAGCAGCAACAACAGUCAGUCAAACUAUUAACUAUCUAAAAAACUAAUCUGGAAGAUUAGCCUUCUAAUAUUUACAAAACUAUUCAUGCAAACAGAGUGUAAUUUCAGUGUUCAGUUUCUUAGCUUGGAAUUUGUUCCUAUUCUGUCAUUUGUAGAGAACAGACAAUAAACACCUAGAAUGCUACAUUAAAAGAAAACAUCAGCAUAGAAUUGUCUUAAUGAUUAGACAAUAUGUUACUUAAACACAGAGUAGAAACUCACUAAUUUGUACUCUACAGGCAAAGAUAUUGCGUGCCAUAUAUUUUUCUCUCUACUUCUAUUGUACAGAAUUCCAGACUGAACUGCAGUUUUUACAACAUACAGAGUACUCCACAUGUGUGCAGUUUGGAUUUCACAGGACUGUAAAUAAUUUUAACUGUUUGCAUUGGUUGUUGGUUUUAAUCUUUCAGAUGCACGAACUCUUAAAUUUUUAUCAGGUUUUCAAAAAACUUUGAUACAGGAUAAUGCAUCUUAAAAACUUGCAUGCCUUUACUGUAAGUCUGAGAAGAAUUUAUAUCCCUAAGGCUUUCCUCUAGGAUAUCUUCUGACGUCAAAAAGGUAAAAUUAUAAAUAGAUUCUAUUUCUUUCAGAUGUCUAUUUAAUUUUUUUUCUUCCAAACACUGUAAUUUAAU